UACAGGAGGCCAGAGCGUUAGGCGGAAUCACUGGGCUUAAAGGGUGCGUAGGCGGUCCUGUUGGUGCAUCGUGAAAUCCCACGGCUCAACCGUGGAACAGCGGUGCAUACCGCAGGACUCGAGACAGGUAGAGGUCGCCGGAACGCUCGGUGGAGCGGUGAAAUGCGUAGAGAUCGAGCGGAACGCCCAUGGUGAAAACAGGCGACUGGGCCGUGUCUGACGCUGAGCCACGAAAGCGUGGGGAUCAAACAGG
This 253-nucleotide ribosomal RNA is filed under the name uncultured bacterium. RNAcentral describes it as "partial 16S ribosomal RNA". It matches the Rfam family "Bacterial small subunit ribosomal RNA", at positions 524 to 776 of the family's 1533-position model. The record is from RNAcentral.